GAGGAGGCGGUGCGAAGGGCGGUGCAUUGUUUGACUACUGUUGCGGCGACUGGAAACCUAGGCUGUUAUGGUUUUUUUGUUUUCUUUUUUUAAAAGUGUUUGGAGCUGUUUUGUUGGGCUAGGGUUUAGGUUUAGUUAGGUUUGGGCUAUUUUUUGGUUUUGGGCCAUAUAGGCCUGCUGGAUUUGUAAGUGGAUUGGAACUUUGUUUUUUAUUUGGUUUUUAUUUAUUUUUUGUUUAUUGCUGCAUGGGCCCGGGCAAAUUGGGCCAUUUACAAUAUGUAUUACGUUAGUCCAAAAAGAUAGUUGAUAAUACAACACUAAUAAAAAUAACAAGAAAAAUAAACGUCAUAUUUAAUUUUAUCUAAUUGUUCUAAUGUUCCAUAUUUGUUGGAUUAUUCCCUCUUUAAUAUUUAACAUAACCUUCUUUUCAUCAAAUAUUAGUCCUUG
RNAcentral lists this long non-coding RNA (447 nucleotides) under Gossypium raimondii (Peruvian cotton). RNAcentral describes it as "long non-coding RNA (GRAI_LNC006303)". Lineage: Eukaryota; Viridiplantae; Streptophyta; Magnoliopsida; Malvales; Malvaceae. The record is from RNAcentral.